UGUGACUGCGUACCUUUUGUAUAAUGGGUCAGCGACUUAUAUUCUGUAGCAAGGUUAACCGAAUAGGGGAGCCGGAGGGAAACCGAGUCUUAAUUGGGCGUUAAGUUGCAGGGUAUAGACCCGAAACCCGGUGAUCUAGCCAUGGGCAGGUUGAAGGUUGGGUAACACUAACUGGAGGACCGAACCGACUAAUGUUGAAAAAUUAGCGGAUGACCUGUGGCUGGGGGUGAAAGGCCAAUCAAACCGGGAGAUAGCUGGUUCUCCCCGAAAGCUAUUUAGGUAGCGCCUCGUGAACUCAUCUCCGGGGGUAGAGCACUGUUUCGGCUAGGGGGCCAUCCCGGCUUACCAACCCGAUGCAAACUGCGAAUACCGGAGAAUGUUAUCACGGGAGACACACGGCGGGUGCUAACGUCCGUCGUGAAGAGGGAAACAACCCAGACCGCCAGCUAAGGUCCCAAAGUCAUGGUUAAGUGGGAAACGAUGUGGGAAGGCCCAGACAGCCAGGAUGUUGGCUUAGAAGCAGCCAUCAUUUAAAGAAAGCGUAAUAGCUCACUGGUCGAGUCGGCCUGCGCGGAAGAUGUAACGGGGCUAAACCAUGCACCGAAGCUGCGGCAGCGAACGUAUCACCCAAGACAACUUUACGGAGUUGACGAUUGACGGAGCGAAGCGACGUCAAAGCGUUCAUUAAAGUCGAGUUGGCUUAGGGAUACGUUCGUUGGGUAGGGGAGCGUUCUGUAAGCCUGUGAAGGUGGCCUGUGAGGGUUGCUGGAGGUAUCAGAAGUGCGAAUGCUGACAUAAGUAACGAUAAAGCGGGUGAAAAGCCCGCUCGCCGGAAGACCAAGGGUUCCUGUCCAACGUUAAUCGGGGCAGGGUGAGUCGACCCCUAAGGCGAGGCCGAAAGGCGUAGUCGAUGGGAAACGGGUUAAUAUUCCCGUACUUGGUGUUACUGCGAAGGGGGGACGGAGAAGGCUAUGUUGGCCGGGCGACGGUUGUCCCGGUUUAAGCGUGUAGGUGUGUGUUCCAGGUAAAUCCGGUUCACUUUAACACUGAGGCGUGACGACGAGGCACUACGGUGCUGAAGCAACAAAUGCCCUGCUUCCAGGAAAAGCCUCUAAGCAUCAGGUAACAUCAAAUCGUACCCCAAACCGACACAGGUGGUCAGGUAGAGAAUACCAAGGCGCUUGAGAGAACUCGGGUGAAGGAACUAGGCAAAAUGGUGCCGUAACUUCGGGAGAAGGCACGCUGACACGUAGGUGAAGUGAUUUACUCAUGGAGCUGAAGUCAGUCGAAGAUACCAGCUGGCUGCAACUGUUUAUUAAAAACACAGCACUGUGCAAACACGAAAGUGGACGUAUACGGUGUGACGCCUGCCCGGUGCCGGAAGGUUAAUUGAUGGGGUCAGCGCAAGCGAAGCUCCUGAUCGAAGCCCCGGUAAACGGCGGCCGUAACUAUAACGGUCCUAAGGUAGCGAAAUUCCUUGUCGGGUAAGUUCCGACCUGCACGAAUGGCGUAAUGAUGGCCAGGCUGUCUCCACCCGAGACUCAGUGAAAUUGAACUCGCUGUGAAGAUGCAGUGUACCCGCGGCAAGACGGAAAGACCCCGUGAACCUUUACUAUAGCUUGACACUGAACAUUGAGCCUUGAUGUGUAG
This 1650-nucleotide ribosomal RNA is filed under the name Salmonella enterica subsp. enterica serovar Cannstatt. RNAcentral describes it as "partial 23S ribosomal RNA". It matches the Rfam family "Bacterial large subunit ribosomal RNA", at positions 592 to 2141 of the family's 2925-position model. The record is from RNAcentral. Lineage: Bacteria; Pseudomonadati; Pseudomonadota; Gammaproteobacteria; Enterobacterales; Enterobacteriaceae.